GACGAACGCUGGCGGCGUGCUUAACACAUGCAAGUCGAACGGAAAGGCCCUGCUUUUGUGGGGUGCUCGAGUGGCGAACGGGUGAGUAACACGUGAGUAACCUGCCCUUGACUUUGGGAUAACUUCAGGAAACUGGGGCUAAUACCGGAUAGGAGCUCCUGCUGCAUGGUGGGGGUUGGAAAGUUUCGGCGGUUGGGGCUGGACUCGCGGCUUAUCAGCUUCUUGGUGAGGUAGUGGCUUACCAAGGCUUUGACGGGUAGCCGGCCUGGGAGGGUGACCGGCCACAUUGGGACUGAGGUACGGCCCAGACUCCUACGGGAGGCAGCAGUGGGGAAUAUUGCACAAUGGGCGGAAGCCUGAUGCAGCAACGCCGCGUGCGGGAUGACGGCCUUCGGGUUGUAAACCGCUUUCGCCUGUGACGAAGCGUGAGUGACGGUAAUGGGUAAAGAAGCACCGGCUAACUACGUG
RNAcentral lists this ribosomal RNA (468 nucleotides) under uncultured bacterium. RNAcentral describes it as "partial 16S ribosomal RNA". It matches the Rfam family "Bacterial small subunit ribosomal RNA", at positions 28 to 507 of the family's 1533-position model. The record is from RNAcentral.